GCUACGGGCGGCAGCAGUCGAGAAUCAUUCACAAUGGGGGAAACCCUGAUGGUGCGACGCCGCGUGGGGGAAUGAAGGUCUUCGGAUUGUAAACCCCUGUCAUGUGGGAGCAAAUUAAAAAGAUAGUACCACAAGAGGAAGUGACGGCUAACUCCGUGCCAGCAGCCGCGGUAAUAAAGCGGUCUCAAGCGUUGUUCGGAAUCACUGGGCGUAAAGCGUGAGUAGGCUGUAUCGUAAGUCGGAUGUGAAAGUCGCGGGCUCAACCCGCGGACCGCACAUGAUACUGCGAGACUAGAGUAAGGGAGGGGUAACCGGAAUUCUCGGUGUAGCAGUGAAAUGCGUAGAUAUCGAGAGGAACACUCGUGGCGAAGGCGGGUUCCUGGACAUUAACUGACGCUGAGGCACGAAGGCCAGGGGAGCGAAAGGGAUUAGAUACCCCGGUAGUC
RNAcentral lists this ribosomal RNA (446 nucleotides) under uncultured bacterium. RNAcentral's name for it is "partial 16S ribosomal RNA". It matches the Rfam family "Bacterial small subunit ribosomal RNA", at positions 338 to 795 of the family's 1533-position model. The record is from RNAcentral.